ACACAUGCAAGUCGGACGGCAGCACAGAGAAGCUUGCUUCUUGGGUGGCGAGUGGCGAACGGGUGAGUAACAUAUCGGAACGUACCGAGUAAUGGGGGGAUAACUAAUCGAAAGAUUAGCUAAUACCGCAUAUUCUCUGAGGAGGGAAAGCAGGGGACCUUCGGGCCUUGCGUUAUUCGAGCGGCCGAUAUCUGAUUAGCUAGUUGGUGGGGUAAAGGCCUACCAAGGCGACGAUCAGUAGCGGGUCUGAGAGGAUGAUCCGCCACACUGGGACUGAGACACGGCCCAGACUCCUACGGGAGGCAGCAGUGGGGAAUUUUGGACAAUGGGCGCAAGCCUGAUCCAGCCAUGCCGCGUGUCUGAAGAAGGCCUUCGGGUUGUAAAGGACUUUUGUCAGGGAAGAAAAGGCUGUUGCUAAUAUCGACAGCUGAUGACGGUACCUGAAGAAUAAGCACCGGCUAACUACGUG
This 469-nucleotide ribosomal RNA is filed under the name uncultured bacterium. RNAcentral describes it as "bacterial SSU rRNA". It matches the Rfam family "Bacterial small subunit ribosomal RNA", at positions 51 to 507 of the family's 1533-position model. The record is from RNAcentral.